GACGAACGCUGGCGGCGUGCUUAACACAUGCAAGUCGAACGGAAAGGCCCUGCUUUUGUGGGGUGCUCGAGUGGCGAACGGGUGAGUAACACGUGAGUAACCUGCCCUUGACUUUGGGAUAACUUCAGGAAACUGGGGCUAAUACCGGAUAGGAGCUCCUGCUGCAUGGUGGGGGUUGGAAAGUUUCGGCGGUUGGGGAUGGACUCGCGGCUUAUCAGCUUGUUGGUGGGGUAGUGGCUUACCAAGGCUUUGACGGGUAGCCGGCCUGAGAGGGUGACCGGCCACAUUGGGACUGAGAUACGGCCCAGACCCCUACGGGAGGCAGCAGUGGGGAAUAUUGCACAAUGGGCGGAAGCCUGAUGCAGCAACGCCGCGUGCGGGAUGACGGCCUUCGGGUUGUAAACCGCUUUCGCCUGUGACGAAGCGUGAGUGACGGUAAUGGGUAAAGAAGCACCGGCUAACUACGUGCCAGCAGCCGCGGUGAUACGUAGGGUGCGAGCGUUGUCCGGAUUUAUUGGGCGUAAAGGGCUCGUAGGUGGUUGAUCGCGUCGGAAGUGGAAUCUUGGGGCUUAACCCUGAGCGUGCUUUCGAUACGGGUUGACUUGAGGAAGGUAGGGGAGAAUGGAAUUCCUGGUGGAGCGGUGGAAUGCGCAGAUAUCAGGAGGAACACCAGUGGCGAAGGCGGUUCUCUGGGCCUUUCCUGACGCUGAGGAGCGAAAGCGUGGGGAGCGAACAGGCUUAGAUACCCUGGUAGUCCACGCUGUAAACGGUGGGUACUAGGUGUGGGGUCCAUUCCACGGGUUCCGUGCCGUAGCUAACGCUUUAAGUACCCCGCCUGGGGAGUACGGCCGCAAGGCUAAAACUCAAAGGAAUUGACGGGGCCCCGCACAAGCGGCGGAGCAUGCGGAUUAAUUCGAUGCAACGCGUAGAACCUUACCUGGGUUUGACAUGGAUCGGGAGCGCUCAGAGAUGGGUGUGCCUCUUUUGGGGUCGGUUCACAGGUGGUGCAUGGCUGUCGUCAGCUCGUGUCGUGAGAUGUUGGGUUAAGUCCCGCAACGAGCGCAACCCUUGUUCACUGUUGCCAGCACGUUAUGGUGGGGACUCAGUGGAGACCGCCGGGGUCAACUCGGAGGAAGGUGGGGAUGACGUCAAGUCAUCAUGCCCCUUAUGUCCAGGGCUUCACGCAUGCUACAAUGGCUGGUACAGAGAGUGGCGAGCCUGUGAGGGUGAGCGAAUCUCGGAAAGCCGGUCUCAGUUCGGAUUGGGGUCUGCAACUCGACCUCAUGAAGUCGGAGUCGCUAGUAAUCGCAGAUCAGCAACGCUGCGGUGAAUACGUUCCCGGGGCU
This 1346-nucleotide ribosomal RNA is filed under the name uncultured bacterium. Its description in RNAcentral is "bacterial SSU rRNA". It matches the Rfam family "Bacterial small subunit ribosomal RNA", at positions 28 to 1381 of the family's 1533-position model. The record is from RNAcentral.